GGAGGUUUAGCUCAGCGGCAUAAGUGCCUGCCUUGCAAGCAGGCAGUUGUGAGUUUGAUCCCCGCUACCUAUA
Molecule: transfer RNA, 73 nt
Organism: Cavia porcellus (domestic guinea pig)
Lineage: Eukaryota; Metazoa; Chordata; Mammalia; Rodentia; Caviidae
Rfam family: tRNA
About the family: Transfer RNA (tRNA) molecules are approximately 80 nucleotides in length. Their secondary structure includes four short double-helical elements and three loops (D, anti-codon, and T loops). Further hydrogen bonds mediate the characteristic L-shaped molecular structure. tRNAs have two regions of fundamental functional importance: the anti-codon, which is responsible for specific mRNA codon recognition, and the 3' end, to which the tRNAs corresponding amino acid is attached (by aminoacyl-tRNA synthetases). tRNAs cope with the degeneracy of the genetic code in two manners: having more than one tRNA (with a specific anti-codon) for a particular amino acid; and 'wobble' base-pairing, i.e. permitting non-standard base-pairing at the 3rd anti-codon position.
Source: Rfam